CAGAAAAUAGAAAGAAAAUAGAGGGAGGUCAGAGAGGUUAGACGAGAGAGCAGUGGGAGGCGCAAGUAAGAAAGGAGUAAGCUGCCUUGGCAGCGGAAGAAAAGUCAGAGGGGCAGCUCGCAAGGACGGUCAGAAGAGUGAAGCGGGGAGAGUCCAAAGGUGAGCACGGCAUGGUGAGUAUGGAGAGAGGUGAGCACGGGGGAAGCUGCCCUUGCAGCUGAGACUGGCGCAAGGAAGACUGAAAGCUGCAGGAAAGGAGAGGGCGCCAGCGAGGCGCAGUUCACACGGGCACGAACGCAACAGAUCACCUUCUUUCGGUUUAAUCUUUCCAAACUUCUAUUUUAUUUCUAUUUUUAAUAAUGUGUAAUUAAAUUUAUUUUGGCUAGAGGUUAAUUCAAAGCCAUGAAUAUAUUUGUAAUAU
This 421-nucleotide long non-coding RNA is filed under the name Malus domestica (apple). RNAcentral's name for it is "long non-coding RNA (MDOM_LNC019603)". The record is from RNAcentral. Lineage: Eukaryota; Viridiplantae; Streptophyta; Magnoliopsida; Rosales; Rosaceae.